CACGCAUUGUGAGAGCAACAACAACAACAACAACAAAUAUGGCGGAAUCUGUAUUGUCAAACACGGAAGAAGAAGGAUACAACCAUAAUUAAACCAAGAAGUUUAUGAAGAAGGGAUCACUGGAUUUUGUCACUUUGGUACAAGAAACAGAAAAGGAUAUCAUAGACCACCUUACUUAUACGGAAGCAUAGGAGCUGUUGAAGGAAAUUGCUGCCAGACAGUCAGCAGUUAUCACUGACAGCCUGUCCUGGCCCAGCUUGGACCAUCCUCAAGCUAACCAUGAUGGUGUGUUUGCAAGAAUUGUCCAUUUGGUAGACCAUGAUGAAGACCAGCUUUGUUGUGGCAUGGCCUGACAAUACUGUACAAGCCAGAGACCAAAAAAGGGUUAAGUGGUGACUGAUCCUCUCACCCUCCUUAUCCAGGAAACAGUUCGGAACAACGUGUUGGCACUGAAGAUGUGGAGGACACAGAUUGAUCACAGUACAUCCUUUGGAUACAUGGACACCUUCAACGUGACGACAACAAAACUGUACCUGCCUUUUUUUGAAAGGAAGUAGUUAAUAAAAUUAUUGUUAACAGCUUUUUUAGUCUUGUUGUUUAAGAAUGCCUGCAACAUUUAAGUGGAUAAACGGUUGUUUUAAAUUUGAAUCUUCAGUAAUGCAUUCUUUAUUUAAUGAUGUAAUCUUAUUUCUUUCAAUAUAGUGUAAAUAAUAAGAACAUAAUUAUCCUUUGUAUACAAAAUGAAAACCAAGUUUACUGUUCUAUUAAUCAUUAUUUAUUUAUCUUGUUCUUUUGUCAGAAAUAUUACAGGGGCAUACAUACAGUAUUCCUUGAAUAAAAGGGGCAGUUCUUAGAAAAUUAACAUGUAUUUUAGCAAUGCAUAUUCAAACUUUUUCCACAUUUAUAACCAGCAACAAUAUGUAAGUAGUAUAAUGUAACACAAAUUAAUACUAUGAAUUUACUACUGAUUUUGCCGUGCCUGUCAUCAAACAUGUUUGACUGAAAGUUUCUUAAAAGAUGUUAUGUGGAAGACUUAAUCAAUCAUUUAAUAAAUAUUUGAGCCACGCUCUGGGAAAAGGGGGUUUAAUGCAUGUACUUAAGGUUGUCCAAGAUUAGGCUGUGCAGACUGCACAGGCUAAUCAGGGGCAACACUUUCCGCCUUAUCUGGAUUUUCUCUAAGAGACUCCAUUUCAACAAAAAAUACAAUAAAGCAGCAAUUGUCUGCCUGAUUGGUAUGAUCGGCACAUGUUAAUCUCGUACGACAAUUUACGCACAUGCAUUAAGCCCCAUUUUCCCAGGGCAAGGCUCACCUAUUUAGGUUUUAGCUGUCUAUAUGCUCUUUAACUUUUGAAUCAUGAUGCAGUUUCAUAUAAUAAUGUAUUAUGAGUUGUUUUUAAUUGAUGCAUAUUCUUUUGUUCAGUGUUGAACUCAACAUGUAUUAUAAUAAGGUGUUCACUUAACAUUCUUGCAGUAAUGUUUUGCUGUGUAGUAUACAUGUAAUAAUAAAUCAAAAUUGAACAACUA
Dreissena polymorpha is the source of this 1524-nucleotide long non-coding RNA. RefSeq lists it as uncharacterized. Lineage: Eukaryota; Metazoa; Mollusca; Bivalvia; Myida; Dreissenidae. The transcript has 4 exons. The record is from RefSeq and is a predicted model, not a curated record.